UGCCAGCCGCCGCGGUAAUACGAAGGUCCCGAGCGUUAUUCGGAAUCACUGGGCGUAAAGGGAGCGUAGGCUGCGCGGUAAGUCAGAUGUGAAAUCUCAGGGCUCAACCUUGAAACUGCAUCCGAUACUGCCGCGCUAGAGUAAUGGAGAGGUAAGUGGAAUUCUCGGUGUAGCAGUGAAAUGCGUAGAUAUCGAGAGGAAGACCAAUGGCGAAGGCAGCUUACUGGACAUUUACUGACGCUGAGGCUCGAAGGCUAGGGUAGCGAAAGGGAUUAGAUA
This 279-nucleotide ribosomal RNA is filed under the name uncultured bacterium. RNAcentral describes it as "partial 16S ribosomal RNA". It matches the Rfam family "Bacterial small subunit ribosomal RNA", at positions 506 to 784 of the family's 1533-position model. The record is from RNAcentral.